RNAcentral lists this long non-coding RNA (1019 nucleotides) under Monodelphis domestica (gray short-tailed opossum). RNAcentral's name for it is "lncRNA (ENSMODG00000037152.1)". Lineage: Eukaryota; Metazoa; Chordata; Mammalia; Didelphimorphia; Didelphidae. The record is from RNAcentral.
AUGUGUUAUUUAUUAUAAUCCGCAAAUUUUCACUUUACAGAUGAGAAAACUGAGACUUCAAAAGAGAAAGUAUUUUGCCCAGAGCUUCAGUGAUUUUACCAACUAACCUUCCCCUUCGGGCUCAACCGCCCUCUGCUCUCUAUAUCUUUAUUCCCAUAGCCUGAACAACAGACUCGGAGGAUGGCCCCUUCUCAGCCUGGAUCCCAGAAUUAUGUGGCACUUUCUUCUUUGGGACAAACCUGGACUGAGUUGGGAGAAGUAGGCCCAUAUGUUCUCCUCUCAGUCGGAGUCUCCCGGGAACCGGAGCGUCCUUCUUGAUAUUCCAUACGGCAGUGUGCCCGCAGGACACUGGCUCCUGGAUGGAGCCGAAAGGAACCUGGCAAAUCGGAACUCAGGCUGUUUCGGAAACUUGUAGGAUCCGGGAUAUAGAAUUGCAAGAAAGCUAUGAGAAAAAGAAGGGUCAGAAAACAGAUGACUUCGCCAACAUUAUACAGAAGGUCUGUGGUCCUGCCACAAAUUCAAGUUCUUUUCAUUACUUCCUGUUGUUUCAUCUGUUAUUCAUUUUUUAUAUAGAUGAUGAAAACCAAAUGACUUCUUAAACCAGUCCAUCUCGACCAUGCCAUGUUUCAUAAUCUAAGGUCUCUUCCAGCUCUCAUAUUCUAUGUCCCAAGUUCCCUUCCAGCUCUUACAACCCGUGAUGCUACUUUUUUUACAUACCCCAGAGGCUAUUCCUUUGUACAGACCCAUACUCCCUACCCUUAGGCAGCAGUUAUCCCGACAUCACCUCUUCCCCUUGCUUUCGGAGAUGCCACUUUAGAAGAAGCAUCUCCCACUGCUGAGAAAGGUGGGAGGAAUGACAGAGGGGGCCCAGGGAUGGGCUGAAUACUGCAGAGUGACCUGCCUAGGGUCUGGGUGGAAGAAAGAGACAGUCUGAAGCCCAUUGUUUAUAAGAACAUCUCUCCCCUGAUUGAUGUUGGCCCUGUGGAAGUCUGUUUGCAAGUUUCUCCUGAAAACAUGAA